This 72-nucleotide transfer RNA is filed under the name Heptamelus sp. RNAcentral's name for it is "tRNA-Ala". Lineage: Eukaryota; Metazoa; Arthropoda; Insecta; Hymenoptera; Tenthredinidae. The record is from RNAcentral.
AGGAUAAUAGUUUAAAUUUUUUAUAACAUUUGAUUUGCAUUCAAAAAAUAUUAAUAUUAUUAAUUUAUCUUA